GACGAACGCUGGCGGCGUGCUUAACACAUGCAAGUCGAGCGGUAAGGCCCUUUCGGGGGUACGACGAGCGGCGAACGGGUGAGUAACACGUGGGUGACCUGCCCUCAGCUCUGGGAUAAGCCCGGGAAACUGGGUCUAAUACCGGAUAUGACUCCAUGACGCAUGUUGUGGGGUGGAAAGCCUUGUGCGGCUGAGGAUGGGCCCGCGGCCUAUCAGCUUGUUGGUGGGGUGAGGCCCUACCAAGGCGACGACGGGUAGCCGGCCUGAGAGGGCGACCGGCCACACUGGGACUGAGACACGGCCCAGACUCCUACGGGAGGCAGCAGUGGGGAAUCUUGCGCAAUGGGCGAAAGCCUGACGCAGCGACGCCGCGUGAGGGAUGACGGCCU
RNAcentral lists this ribosomal RNA (389 nucleotides) under uncultured bacterium. RNAcentral's name for it is "bacterial SSU rRNA". It matches the Rfam family "Bacterial small subunit ribosomal RNA", at positions 28 to 417 of the family's 1533-position model. The record is from RNAcentral.